RNAcentral lists this ribosomal RNA (279 nucleotides) under uncultured bacterium. Its description in RNAcentral is "partial 16S ribosomal RNA". It matches the Rfam family "Bacterial small subunit ribosomal RNA", at positions 506 to 784 of the family's 1533-position model. The record is from RNAcentral.
UGCCAGCCGCCGCGGUAAUACGGAGGGUGCGAGCGUUAAUCGGAAUCACUGGGCGUAAAGCGCGCGUAGGCGGCGCGAUAAGUCAGGCGUGAAAGCCCUCGGCUCAACCGGGGAAUUGCGCUUGAUACUGUCGUGCUUGAGUCUCGGAGAGGGUGGCGGAAUUCCAGGUGUAGGAGUGAAAUCCGUAGAUAUCUGGAGGAACACCAGUGGCGAAGGCAACAUUCUGGGCUAUUACUGACAUUGAGGUACGAAAGUAUAGGUAGCGAAUAGGAUUAGAUA